This 433-nucleotide ribosomal RNA is filed under the name uncultured bacterium. Its description in RNAcentral is "partial 16S ribosomal RNA". It matches the Rfam family "Bacterial small subunit ribosomal RNA", at positions 29 to 507 of the family's 1533-position model. The record is from RNAcentral.
AACGAACGCUGGCGGCAUGCCUAACACAUGCAAGUCGAACGAGACCUUCGGGUCUAGUGGCGCACGGGUGCGUAACGCGUGGGAACCUGCCCUUAGGUUCGGAAUAACUCCCCGAAAGGGGUGCUAAUACCGGAUAAUGUCUUCGGACCAAAGAUUUAUCGCCUUUGGAUGGGCCCGCGUUGGAUUAGCUAGUUGGUAGGGUAAAAGCCUACCAAGGCGACGAUCCAUAGCUGGUCUGAGAGGAUGAUCAGCCACUCUGGGACUGAGACACGGCCCAGACUCCUACGGGAGGCAGCAGUGGGGAAUAUUGGACAAUGGGCGAAAGCCUGAUCCAGCAAUGCCGCGUGAGUGAUGAAGGCCUUAGGGUUGUAAAGCUCUUUUACCCGGGAUGAUAAUGACAGUACCGGGAGAAUAAGCUCCGGCUAACUCCGUG